Molecule: ribosomal RNA, 497 nt
Filed under: uncultured bacterium
Lineage: Bacteria
Description: partial 16S ribosomal RNA
Rfam family: Bacterial small subunit ribosomal RNA
Source: RNAcentral
GAUGAACGCUGGCGGCGUGCCUAAUACAUGCAAGUCGAGCGAACAGACGAGGAGCUUGCUCCUCUGACGUUAGCGGCGGACGGGUGAGUAACACGUGGAUAACCUACCUAUAAGACUGGGAUAACUUCGGGAAACCGGAGCUAAUACCGGAUAACAUGUUGAACCGCAUGGUUCAACAGUGAAAGACGGUCUUGCUGUCACUUCUAGAUGGAUCCGCGCCGCAUUAGCUAGUUGGUAAGGUAACGGCUUACCAAGGCAACGAUGCGUAGCCGACCUGAGAGGGUGAUCGGCCACACUGGAACGGAGACACGGUCCAGACUCCUACGGGAGGCAGCAGUAGGGAAUCUUCCGCAAAGGGCGAAAGCCUGACGGAGCAACGCCGCGUGAGUGAAGAAGGUCUUCGGAUCGUAAAACUCUGUUAUUAGGGAAGAACAAAUGUGUAAGUAACUAUGCACGUCUUGACGGUACCUAAUCAGAAAGCCACGGCUAACUACGUG